Molecule: ribosomal RNA, 309 nt
Filed under: uncultured bacterium
Lineage: Bacteria
Description: partial 16S ribosomal RNA
Rfam family: Bacterial small subunit ribosomal RNA
Source: RNAcentral
AGAGACAGCAGCAGCCGCGGUAAAACGGAGGGUGCAAGCGUUAAUCGGAAUUACUGGGCGUAAAGCGCACGCAGGCGGUCUGACAAGUCAGAUGUGAAAUCCCCGGGCUUAACCUGGGAACUGCAUUUGAAACUGUCAGGCUGGAGUCUUGUAGAGGGGGGUGGAAUUCCAGGUGUAGCGGUGAAAUGCGUAGAGAUCUGGAGGAAUACCGGUGGCGAAGGCGGCCCCCUGGACAAAGACUGACGCUCAGGUGCGAAAGCGUGGGGAGCAAACAGGAUUAGAUACCCCAGUAGUCCCUGUCUCUUAUCC